UCUUCAGUGGAAACCUCCAAAUGAAUCAUUCUUGUAUUAUACACUAUGUCACAACUAUUGCAUCAAUUCUCAACAGGUUAACAAUAAAACCUCUGAGAAAUCAGUCCUUGAAUAUCAAACUGGAUCCAGUCUAAAAGCUGCUGAUUCUCCGAUUUGAAGACAUUUUCAACCCAGUUGAAACGAGAUCAAUGGCUGCCAAGUAUGACAUUGUCCUAUCAUGGACAGGAGGAACUACAAAGUAACUAAGGAAAGUUCUAACAUUUAAUGAAAAAUUCAUAACCAGGUCAAAAUGAUUCUACUAAGAAAUAAAAAUGCCUGGAAACAAGAAAACAGGCCUCUAACCCCACACCCAACCAGCUGCCAUCUUCAUUCCAUGAAGAUGGAUUCUGAUUUCUCCAAGACAACCACAGAGUGAACAUUGGAAAGUAUUGCAAUGGAUGCUGAUUCCUCUGCCCAUUUGCCGUGUCCAGGUUAUG
RNAcentral lists this long non-coding RNA (476 nucleotides) under Mus spicilegus (steppe mouse). Its description in RNAcentral is "lncRNA (ENSMSIG00000024466.1)". Lineage: Eukaryota; Metazoa; Chordata; Mammalia; Rodentia; Muridae. The record is from RNAcentral.